AUACGAAGGGGGCUAGCGUUGUUCGGAAUCACUGGGCGUAAAGCGCGCGUAGGUGGAUCAAUUAGUUGAGGGUGAAAUCCCGAGGCUCAACCUCGGAACUGCCUUCAAUACUGUUGAUCUUGAGACCGAGAGAGGUGAGUGGAAUUCCUAGUGUAGAGGUGAAAUUCGUAGAUAUUAGGAAGAACACCAGUGGCGAAGGCGGCUCACUGGCUCGGUACUGACGCUGAGGUGCGAAAGCGUGGGGAGCAAACAGGAUUAGAAACCCUAGUAGUCC
RNAcentral lists this ribosomal RNA (274 nucleotides) under uncultured bacterium. RNAcentral describes it as "partial 16S ribosomal RNA". It matches the Rfam family "Bacterial small subunit ribosomal RNA", at positions 523 to 796 of the family's 1533-position model. The record is from RNAcentral.